GACGAACGCUGGCGGCGUGCCUAAUACAUGCAAGUUGAGCGCUGAAGGUUGGUACUUGUACCAACUGGAUGAGCAGCGAACGGGUGAGUAACGCGUGGGGAAUCUGCCUUUGAGCGGGGGACAACAUUUGGAAACGAAUGCUAAUACCGCAUAAAAACUUUAAACACAAGUUUUAAGUUUGAAAGAUGCAAUUGCAUCACUCAAAGAUGAUCCCGCGUUGUAUUAGCUAGUUGGUGAGGUAAAGGCUCACCAAGGCGAUGAUACAUAGCCGACCUGAGAGGGUGAUCGGCCACAUUGGGACUGAGACACGGCACAAACUCCUACGGGAGGCAGCAGUAGGGAAUCUUCGGCAAUAGACGAAAGUCUGACCGAGCAACGCCGCGUGAGUGAAGAAGGUUUUCGGAUCGUAAAACUCUGUUGGUAGAGAAGAACGUUGGUGAGAGUGGAAAGCUCAUCAAGUGACGGUAACUACCCAGAAAGGGACGGCUAACUACGUG
This 497-nucleotide ribosomal RNA is filed under the name uncultured bacterium. Its description in RNAcentral is "partial 16S ribosomal RNA". It matches the Rfam family "Bacterial small subunit ribosomal RNA", at positions 28 to 507 of the family's 1533-position model. The record is from RNAcentral.